RNAcentral lists this ribosomal RNA (420 nucleotides) under bacterium. RNAcentral describes it as "partial 16S ribosomal RNA". It matches the Rfam family "Bacterial small subunit ribosomal RNA", at positions 355 to 776 of the family's 1533-position model. The record is from RNAcentral.
UGGGGGAUAUUGCACAAUGGGCGAAAGCCUGAUGCAGCGACGCCGCGUGGGGGAUGAAGGCUUUCGGGUUGUAAACCUCUUUCGCUAUCGAACAAGGCCCGCUUAGGGUGGGUUGAGGGUAGGUGGAGAAGAAGCGCCGGCUAACUACGUGCCAGCAGCCGUGGUAAUACGUAGGGCGCGAGCGUUGUCCGGAAUUAUUGGGCGUAAAGGGCUUGUAGGCGGCUUGUUGCGCCUGCUGUGAAAACGCGGGGCUUAACUUCGCGCGUGCAGUGGGUACGGGCAGGCUUGAGUGUGGUAGGGGUGACUGGAAUUCCAGGUGUAGCGGUGGAAUGCGCAGAUAUCUGGAGGAACACCGAUGGCGAAGGCAGGUCACUGGGCCAUUACUGACGCUGAGGAGCGAAAGCAUGGGUAGCGAACAGG